UGUGUGUGUGUGUGUGUGUGUGUGUGUGUGUGUGUGUGUGUGUGUGUGUGUAACGGACCAAACAUAAUAUCUCGCCUGGCUGAAACGCGUUAUAGGUACUAUACAGCAUUCUCUAUUGCAAGGUAUCUCGCAUGUAGCCAACAAAAAUCGUAUGAGCGCAAACAAGUUUGGCUGCCUCAAUUGACCGAGGCCAAAGUCACAUCAACGCCUCUCGCGCUAAAUUUCAUCGCAAAAGGUACCGCGUACCUCAUAUUUGAGUUCUUAGAUGACGGCGUAUGAUAACUCGAACUCCCAGGCC
Molecule: long non-coding RNA, 298 nt
Filed under: Volvox carteri
Lineage: Eukaryota; Viridiplantae; Chlorophyta; Chlorophyceae; Chlamydomonadales; Volvocaceae
Description: long non-coding RNA (VCAR_LNC002007)
Source: RNAcentral